This is a long non-coding RNA of Etheostoma spectabile (orangethroat darter), 119 nucleotides long. RefSeq lists it as uncharacterized. The record is from RefSeq and is a predicted model, not a curated record. The transcript is spliced from 3 exons. Lineage: Eukaryota; Metazoa; Chordata; Actinopteri; Perciformes; Percidae.
UCUCUCCAUUUCCAGAUAUCAUACAUGCAUUCAUUACAUCUUGAUUAGACUACUGUAACUCUUCAAAUGUUGGAUUGGAUCAGUCAUCCCUUCGUUGCUUACAGUUAGUCUAGAACGCA